GUGCCAGCAGCCGCGGUAAUACGUAGGUGGCAAGCGUUGUCCGGAUUUAUUGGGCGUAAAGCGAGCGCAGGCGGUUUUUUAAGUCUGAUGUGAAAGCCUUCGGCUCAACCGAAGAAGUGCAUCGGAAACUGGGAAACUUGAGUGCAGAAGAGGACAGUGGAACUCCAUGUGUAGCGGUGAAAUGCGUAGAUAUAUGGAAGAACACCAGUGGCGAAGGCGGCUGUCUGGUCUGUAACUGACGCUGAGGCUCGAAAGUAUGGGUAGCAAACAGGAUUAGAUACCCUGGUAGUCCAUACCGUAAACGAUGAAUGCUAAGUGUUGGAGGGUUUCCGCCCUUCAGUGCUGCAGCUAACGCAUUAAGCAUUCCGCCUGGGGAGUACGGCCGCAAGGCUGAAACUCAAGGGAAUUGACGGGGGCCCGCACAAGCGGUGGAGCAUGUGGUUUAAUUCGAAGCUACGCGAAGAACCUUACCAGGUCUUGACAUACUAUGCAAAUCUAAGAGAUUAGACGUUCCCUUCGGGGACAUGGAUACAGGUGGUGCAUGGUUGUCGUCAGCUCGUGUCGUGAGAUGUUGGGUUAAGUCCCGCAACGAGCGCAACCCUUAUUAUCAGUUGCCAGCAUUAAGUUGGGCACUCUGGUGAGACUGCCGGUGACAAACCGGAGGAAGGUGGGGAUGACGUCAAAUCAUCAUGCCCCUUAUGACCUGGGCUACACACGUGCUACAAUGGAUGGUACAACGAGUUGCGAACUCGCGAGAGUAAGCUAAUCUCUUAAAGCCAUUCUCAGUUCGGAUUGUAGGCUGCAACUCGCCUACAUGAAGUCGGAAUCGCUAGUAAUCGCGGAUCAGCAUGCCGCGGUGAAUACGUUCCCGGGCCUUGUACACACCGCCCGU
This 892-nucleotide ribosomal RNA is filed under the name uncultured bacterium. RNAcentral's name for it is "bacterial SSU rRNA". It matches the Rfam family "Bacterial small subunit ribosomal RNA", at positions 505 to 1397 of the family's 1533-position model. The record is from RNAcentral.